UUUGCAAGGCCUGGCAAAGCAAAGAUAUCUUUAGAACCGAAGUAAGAGUUAGAAAAAUUUAGACAGGAAAAAGCAGACAGCUACUUACCAAGACCAUGGACUUGGAAACAGACCGAAUUGAUUUCAUUUCGGUAUUCAGUUGCUUCAAGUGGUGCUCCAUGUCCUUAGGGAGGCACACACUUUUGGCCAGGUUAAAGGCCAGUUGGUGGUCUUUUUCACCAACGACCGAAUCAGUGACUUUGAUGUUUCGGUCAUUGAAGAUCAGAGGCGGAGCCCACUUCGGAGAUCGGGCUCGGUCAGUUUGUUCAGGUUGGGAGGCAGGUUGAGGACUUUGGGGGACAGUUUCGACUUCGUCAACAAGUUGUUGUUCGGCUGACGUAGAUCGGGCGCGUUUUGAAGGGCGAGACGAAGAGGGCCGUUGUGAAGGAAGGGCCACGACGGCAGGCUGCACCUCAGUAGUUGGUGUUACUUCGGCUCUAGUUAUUGAAGUUAGAAGGGCCCUGACUCUGCUCUUCUUUGCCAUUUCUUCCUCGGCGGUUAAUGGAACAAGUCUUAUCUCGGGCAAAGUGGGGUCCGGCUCCGGUGCUUCCUCGAGAAGAAAAUUGGUUACUUUUGCCUUCCGUCGACCGCUGUAACGGUAGGUCGGUUCGAAAUUUAGAAGCUUGGCCCAAUCUCUUUCUUUAACCCGAAAUGCGGCUCGCAAAACGCCGAGGUUAGGAUAGCUAUACAAGGAGUGGAGAUGGGCGAAAUCUGCAAAAAAAAAA
Camellia sinensis is the source of this 764-nucleotide non-coding RNA. Lineage: Eukaryota; Viridiplantae; Streptophyta; Magnoliopsida; Ericales; Theaceae. The record is from RefSeq and is a predicted model, not a curated record.